RNAcentral lists this ribosomal RNA (414 nucleotides) under Bemisia emiliae. RNAcentral's name for it is "partial 16S ribosomal RNA". The record is from RNAcentral. Lineage: Eukaryota; Metazoa; Arthropoda; Insecta; Hemiptera; Aleyrodidae.
UUUUAGAUAAGUUCUGCUCAAUGAAUACACUAUUAAAUAGCUGCAGUAAAUUAACUGUACUAAGGUAGCAUAAUAAAUUGCUUUUUAAUUUAAAGCUUGAAUGAAAGAAAAUAUGUGAAAUAAACUUUUUUAACUAAAAUAGUACAAAUUAAUAUUUAAGUGAAAAAUCUUAAAUUAAGACAAAAGACAAGAAGACCCUUUAGAACUUUACAAAUUAGCUCAUCCAAAAUGAAAUUUUUUGUUAAAUUGGGGAGAUUUUUAAAUAAAUAAAUCUUUAAAUAUAAUAAAAUGAAUUAAUUCAAAUUAUAUUAUCCAUAUAUGAAAUAAAUCAAGUUACCUAAGGGAUAACAGCGUAAAAUUUUUGAGAAGAUCUUAUUCACAAAAUAAAUUACGACCUCGAUGUUGGAUUAAGAA